CCUCCCAAAGAACGUGAACACAUCGUAGCUGUCAUCAUUCGUGCAAUGGUUCGACUUUUCGUUUUGUUGUAAAUUAUAUUUGUGUUGGUGCACUUUGACAACAACUGUUAAUCGUUUCAAUAUUUUUGUUUUUGUUUUCUAGUCAGUGUAGUUAAGUUCUUAAUUUAAUAAUUUUAUUGGUAGAGUGACGAAUAUUGUGAAUUGUAUUUUAUGAGAAUGUGAUCUUUAUUAUGAAAUAAUUAAAAGUGAUGGUAACUAGAAAAAAUUAAAAUUUUUAAUUGAAUGCCAAAAGUUGGACCUGGACACUACUCAAGUGCAUCACUCGAAAAUGGUUUGGACAGUACACGUCGUUUACAUGGUCGCUUUUCUCACCGUCAAAAACGCAUCACGCAAUAUAACUCGACGAAGAAAUAUUAAGGAGAACGUUUUUAUGUUCUAAAAAUCAUCCAAUAUUUAAGUAAGGUAUUUGACCGAGAGUUAUAGGAG
Bradysia coprophila is the source of this 486-nucleotide long non-coding RNA. RefSeq lists it as uncharacterized. The record is from RefSeq and is a predicted model, not a curated record. Lineage: Eukaryota; Metazoa; Arthropoda; Insecta; Diptera; Sciaridae.